UGGUUUGAUUAUGGCUCAGAGUGAACGCUGGCGGCGUGCCUAAUACAUGCAAGUCGAACGAUGAAGCUCUAGCUUGCUAGAGUGGAUUAGUGGCGCACGGGUGAGUAAUGCAUAGAUAACAUGCCCUUUAGUCUAGGAUAGCCAUUGGAAACGAUGAUUAAUACUGGAUACUCCUUACGAGGGAAAGUUUUUCGCUAAAGGAUUGGUCUAUGUCCUAUCAGCUUGUUGGUGAGGUAAUGGCUCACCAAGGCUAUGACGGGUAUCCGGCCUGAGAGGGUGAACGGACACACUGGAACUGAGACACGGUCCAGACUCCUACGGGAGGCAGCAGUAGGGAAUAUUGCUCAAUGGGGGAAACCCUGAAGCAGCAACGCCGCGUGGAGGAUGAAGGUUUUCGGAUUGUAAACUCCUUUUGUUAGAGAAGAUAAUGACGGUAUCUAACGAAUAAGCACCGGCUAACUCCGUGCCAGCAGCCGCGGUAAUACGGAGGGUGCAAGCGUUACUCGGAAUCACUGGGCGUAAAGAGCGCGUAGGCGGGAUAGCAAGUCAGAUGUGAAAUCCUAUGGCUUAACCAUAGAACUGCAUUUGAAACUGUUAUUCUAGAGUAUGGGAGAGGUAGGUGGAAUUCUUGGUGUAGGGGUAAAAUCCGUAGAGAUCAAGAGGAAUACUCAUUGCGAAGGCGACCUGCUAGAACAUAACUGACGCUGAUGCGCGAAAGCGUGGGGAGCAAACAGGAUUAGAUACCCUGGUAGUCCACGCCCUAAACGAUGAAUGCUAGUUGUUGUGGAGCUUGUCUCUGCAGUAAUGCAGCUAACGCAUUAAGCAUUCCGCCUGGGGAGUACGGUCGCAAGAUUAAAACUCAAAGGAAUAGACGGGGACCCGCACAAGCGGUGGAGCAUGUGGUUUAAUUCGAAGAUACACGAAGAACCUUACCUAGGCUUGACAUUGAUAGAAUCCGCUAGAGAUAGUGGAGUGCUAGCUUGCUAGAACUUGAAAACAGGUGCUGCACGGCUGUCGUCAGCUCGUGUCGUGAGAUGUUGGGUUAAGUCCCGCAACGAGCGCAACCCUCGUCCUUAGUUGCUAACUAUUCGGUAGAGCACUCUAAGGAGACUGCCUUCGCAAGGAGGAGGAAGGUGAGGAUGACGUCAAGUCAUCAUGGCCCUUACGCCUAGGGCUACACACGUGCUACAAUGGGAAGCACAAAGAGAUGCAAUAUUGUGAAAUGGAGCAAAUCUAUAAAACUUCUCUCAGUUCGGAUUGUAGUCUGCAACUCGACUACAUGAAGCUGGAAUCGCUAGUAAUCGUAAAUCAGCUAUGUUACGGUGAAUACGUUCCCGGGUCUUGUACUCACCGCCCGUCACACCAUGGGAGUUGUAUUCGCCUUAAGUCGGAAUGCCAAACUGGCUACCGCCCACGGCGGAUGCAGCAACUGGGGUGAAGUCGUAACAAGGUAACC
This 1456-nucleotide ribosomal RNA is filed under the name uncultured bacterium. RNAcentral's name for it is "partial 16S ribosomal RNA". It matches the Rfam family "Bacterial small subunit ribosomal RNA". The record is from RNAcentral.